This 1607-nucleotide long non-coding RNA is filed under the name Daphnia pulicaria. Its description in RNAcentral is "uncharacterized LOC124314495, transcript variant X2". Lineage: Eukaryota; Metazoa; Arthropoda; Branchiopoda; Diplostraca; Daphniidae. The record is from RNAcentral.
UGGAGUUUUGGCUUUUAGACAUGAAGAAUACGAAGAGAACUGUUAUGACAUUCGUUACUGUUUCUUGUCUUGCAAUUUAUUGACUAUUUAAUACUUAAUAGUGAGAUCGCGGUUUUCCAUAAAAUUGAAACCAAAAUAUUACAGACCUGUGGUGACUAAUGCAAGGCCUCUAAAAGAAAAUUCUCGGCCGACCGUUAUCUUCUUGUCUUCAUUCGUUCUUCAAAACACCCAGAUGCAUUUUUCCAUAACACUUUCCCGCCAGAAGCCGUUCUUUAGUGGACAGUCGGAGGAUCGAAAAUCUUUAACUCUGUAUGAUUCGUGCCGAAGAUCGGGAGUCGGCCACCGAUGUCAAUCUACAACGCAGUUUCUUAAUUGGAGCUGGUGUUUCCUGGGAUGUGUUGUUGCGGAUUUGUUACACUAUCAUGUUCAAAAAGGUAAAAUUGUGUCCGCCAGGUGGUGGAGUGCCUGUUCGUGAGUGACGAAGCCGCCAUUUGCUUUUGAAACAGCGUACGGGAAAUUCUGCCAAAUGACGGUGUUCUUCGCUUUUACAUUUUAAAAAAUGUUUCCACGCCAUUCGACCAAGUUGAAACGAAAGUGAAUAAUUCUAAAGCAUCAUGUCGAAGAUCUUGCCUUUAUCCACGUGAUCGCUGCCAUGAAGGUGUGUCUACUAUAUUGCAAGACGAUAAUGUGAAGAAACCAGGAAAUCUGAAAUGCAUAUCUGAGUAUGAGCUGCAGCCAGUUGGCGGAAGUUGUGAACAUGUUAGCUGUUGCAAUCAGUUUGUGAGGCAUCUCAUGCAGAAACCAAAAAUGAUAAGCAUGUCGGAGAUCUUGCCUUUCUCAACGUGCGGUGCCGUGUCAACGAGAUGUCUCUUUGAUGAGGUCUCUACUAUAUUGCAAAACAUAAAUGUGAAGAAAACAGGAAAUCUGAAAUGGAUUCCAUGGUCAGUUUGAUGUAUGAGCUGUUUAUAGUGUUGCUGUUUGGUGUGAACCGGUUUGCAGUCAUUUUCCACCUGAGAGAUGCGCUGAAACGGAGCUUCGUCAGACUUGCAGUUCAACAUCAUACUUCGAUGUGAUAAUGUCUAUGUUUGGGUCCGUGCAGUGUUGAGCUGUUGGGCAAACAGUCAAUGUUGUCUGAUGGCUGUCAGACAUAUUUUGUCGGUUGCAUUUUGUCAACGUGUCGUCUCUUGCUACCUGUACUGGUGUUGAGGUAGUGCUUGAUGAACAGUAUCAUUUUUUCAGCCGUUAUUGCAGCCCAAACUGGUGAAAGAUCUUUUUGCAUCAAGUAAAUCUGUCUGUUUUUUUUUUUUUUUUGUUUUGUGUUUUGUGUUGAUGCAGUGUUACGGAAGUUGCAUCAUUAUUGUGUUGAAUUGUCAUUGUGACUGCACUUAACCGUUUAUAAUUUAGAAAGGGGGAAAAAAAAACAGAAUUAUGGGGAAUUUAUGUCAAACAACUAAUAAACAUGCUUUCGGGAUCGGGAAAGGAAUGUGGAGGUUGUCGAGUGGGAGGGUAAUGACUUGAGUUUUCAUAUCUCAAAUUAUAAUGAGGUAUGUUGAAUUGUACUGAUGCGAAAAAUGUGGAUAAAACUUAUAAAUCCACAAAAACUCCUA